RNAcentral lists this ribosomal RNA (253 nucleotides) under uncultured bacterium. RNAcentral describes it as "partial 16S ribosomal RNA". It matches the Rfam family "Bacterial small subunit ribosomal RNA", at positions 524 to 776 of the family's 1533-position model. The record is from RNAcentral.
UACGUAGGUGGCAAGCGUUGUCCGGAUUUACUGGGCGUAAAGGGCUCGUAGGCGGCCAACUAAGUCAGACGUGAAAUCCCUCGGCUUAACCGGGGAACUGCGUCUGAUACUGGUUGGCUUGAAUCCGGGAGAGGGAUGCGGAAUUCCAGGUGUAGCGGUGAAAUGCGUAGAUAUCUGGAGGAACACCGGUGGCGAAGGCGGCAUCCUGGACCGGCAUUGACGCUGAGGAGCGAAAGCCAGGGGAGCAAACGGG